CCCUAGCCGCGAUUGUAGCAAUUGUCUGAGCUCAUUUUAUAUUUUUUGGCGGCGCGGCGGAGCCGCGCCGCCAAAAAAUAUAAAAUAGCAAUUGCGGAAAGCGCGAAAAAGC
RNAcentral lists this unclassified non-coding RNA (112 nucleotides) under Chryseobacterium takakiae. RNAcentral's name for it is "Flavo-1 RNA". The record is from RNAcentral. Lineage: Bacteria; Pseudomonadati; Bacteroidota; Flavobacteriia; Flavobacteriales; Weeksellaceae.